This 254-nucleotide ribosomal RNA is filed under the name uncultured prokaryote. RNAcentral describes it as "partial 16S ribosomal RNA". It matches the Rfam family "Bacterial small subunit ribosomal RNA", at positions 524 to 777 of the family's 1533-position model. The record is from RNAcentral.
UACAGAGGUCCCGAGCGUUGUUCGGAUUCAUUGGGCGUAAAGGGUGCGUAGGCGGCGGGGCAAGUCUGAUGUGAAAUCCUGGGGCUCAACCCUGGAACUGCAUUGGAUACUGCCUUGCUAGAGAACUGGAGAGGAGACUGGAAUUUACGGUGUAGCAGUGAAAUGCGUAGGGAUCGUAAGGAAGACCAGUGGCGAAGGCGAGUCUCUGGACAGUUACUGACGCUGAGGCACGAAGGCCAGGGGAGCAAACGGGA